GAGGGAGGAAUUCUGUCGUCUGGGAACGGCUGGUUUCGCGGUCAGACGCCGAGGGCCCUCGAAGUCCCUAGCAACGGCUGCGGAGGGAGAUUCCACCUAGGUCCGUGCAGGUUACAAAUGGCAACCAGAACAGGGACUCCAAGCACGCCCAACUAGCAGCAUCCAAACAUGGGACUUCAAGGACGUGAAUGAAGAAGGUCUGCUGGAGCAGAGGAACUGAAAUUGACAAGGCGAAAGGGGACCCUGGGAAGAGUCUGCCGGCAGCAGAUAUAAGGUCAGUGCCCUAAAGAGGUACUGGGAGCAGUGCUUUAAAGAAGUACUGGGAAGUUUUCUGACUCAGGGUAACAAGGGAAAGAAUUUGUCUAUUGAAGAAAAACAUUAUGUGCAGUUGCUUAAAGUUCUGUUGAGACAGUCUGCAGCUCAGGUUAAUUCGCAGACACUAACCUCCUGCAGAAGCCACAAAAGGUUAUUACACAUAACCCAUCGUUUCCACAGGCAGGCACUCUUGAUGUGGAAAAUUGGGAUACAGCAGGAGAAGGAUUAAAACAGGCUCAUCAAAAAGGUCUUAAAGUCGAUUCUUCUGUUUUCUCCACUUGGAGUUUAGUUCGUACUGUACUUCUGCCAUUAUCUCAUUAUUAUUCUGCAGGACAGCAAGCUGAAUCUAAAAAUCUGAAAGAAUUUGUUGACCCACCCACAGCUCCAAUUAAAAAUAAAAAACAGGAGAGGGAGGAUAAAAAUUGGCCUAUACUGCCUCCUUCAGUUGCAGAAACAUCUGUACUGCCUCCUUCGGUGGCAGAAAUAGAAACCCUAAUACAAAGAAUUUAAUGCUCUGCUGCCAUAGCUGGAGAGCCCUUAGGACAUUGUGCUUUUCCUAUUUCCAUCAGGCCUGAUCCAAAAAAUCCACAGCAGGUUAUUCAUGAACACACCCCACUAGAGUUUAAGUUGUUGAAGGAAUUAAAAGCAAGAGUGGUAAAUGAUGGCAUACAGAGCCCAUUCACCUUAGGAUUGCUAGAAUCUGUGUUUGGUGCUAUGCGUUUUUUACCCUUUGAUGUGAGACACUUGGCGCGAACUUGCUUGUCUGCUAGUGCAUAUCUGACAUGGAAUUUAAAUUGGCAAGAAAUGUGUGCAGACCAGGCUAAACAGAACCAUGCUGCUGGACACGGAGACAUUACAGAGGAUAUGCUGUUAGGUCAUGGCCCUUAUUCAGAUGUAGAACGUCAAAUGGCACUCCCAGAUGCUGCUUAUCAGCAGUGUACACAGGCCGCUAAAUGCGCCUGGGCCACAAUCCUGAAGAGGGAGUCCCUGUACAAUCCUUUUUACAUAUCAUGCAAGGGUUGCAGGAACCCUAUGCACAAUUUCUUGCAAGAUUACAUGAGGCACUGAAGCGUCAGAUUCCUCAUACUGUGGCUGCAGAAAUGCUAACCUUAACUUUAGCUUUUGAGAAUGCAAACGUGUACUGUAAACGUGCACUGGCACCAGUGAGGUGUACAAAAAACUUGGGAAAUUUUCUCAGAGCUUGUCAGGAUGUAGGAACUGAGAUUCAUCGAUCUGCAAAGUUAGCAUAAGCAAUGGCUAAUUUAGCAGUUGACAAAUCUAAAAGGAGCCAAGGGUCAAACCCUAAAGUGGGAAAAUGUUGUAAUUGUGGAAAAACUGGACAUCUAAAAAAGGAAUGCCGCCAGAUCUCAGGACAGAAAGGAUAUUACAAUGCAGUUCACUCCCUAGCAGAAAAAACAGCAGGACUCUGUACUCGCCAUAACAAAGGAAAUCACUGGGCUACCCAGUGCUGCUCAAAAUUUCAUCAGAAUGGCACCCCAUUGGUAAAUGAGAUGGGGGCCUGCACCCGGGCCCCUCAAACAAUGAGGGCAUUCCCAAUGCAGACCACAACCCCACUUCAGGGAUGGGUUCCUGGAGGCACAUUGAUUCCCUCAACCCAGGAACACCAGGAAGUGCAGGAUUAGAUCUACCCACCAGAGAAAGAAUCACAUUAGUUAGGGGAGACAAACCUAUUUGGGUAUUUGGGGACCUUUACCGACAGGAUACACAGGACUAAUUUUAGGUAAAAGCUGCCUUAACUUGCAAGGCAUCACUGUAGUCCUAGGAAUGACUGACUCCGAUUAUGAAGGAGAAAUUCAAGUAGUUUUAAUGUCACAAAAUCUUUGGGUUUUUGAACUGGGAGAAUAUAUUGCUCAAUUAUUGCUUAUUCCCUGUGAAUUACACCCUUCCCCAUGAAAAGAGAAAUGAGGAAAUAAAGGGUUUGGGAGCACAACUACAUGGGAAAUCUAUCUUUCCCAACCCAUAGCCUCUAAUAGACCUACCUGUGUAGUACACAUUAAAGGAAAGAAAUUUUAUGGGCUUAUGGACAUGGGAGCUGAUGUGUCAGUCAUAUCUAUAGGAUGGGCACAUCAAACAUUACAACGCAUGUUGAAAAAACAAAAAGGGGGUAUAGGAGGCCAACUACCACCUCAAUCAAAACUACAUUUAGCCUUAUUUACUUUAAAUUUUCUGACUCCCGGUAUGGAUGGUAAGACUCCAGCAGAAAGACAUUGGCAAGUGUUAGAGGAAAAAAGCAAAGUUUAUCUGAAAGUGUUAUGGAAAUCCCCAGAAGGACAACAAUGGAAAGGCCCGGUAGAUUUACUGACCUGGGGAAGAGGGUAUGCUUGUGUGUUUACAGGAGAUGGGACAAGCCAUGUGGGUGCCCUCAAGGUGCAUGCGACCAUGGAAUGGGAGACUGGAGGAACCCAGGGUGGCCAACCAUGGGCCCAGUCCCUCCUGUACGAGCUAUGAGUCAGCUGAGCCUGAGUGCAAAGAUGGAGAGAAGGCCAACCAGAGUCAUGAUGACAUCAACCCCCAUAACCUGGGGACAACUCAAGAAAACCACACAGGAAGCUGAGAAACUACUGGAGUGUCAGGGACAGGCAAAACCCCUGAUUCCAUGCUCUUGGCCAUGUUAGCCAUAAUGUCCUGUGCACUACGUUUUCCCUGUGCACAGGCAAAAACAUAUUGGGCAUAUGUUCCCAAUCCCCCAGCAGUAUGGCCUAUACUUUGGAGCUCACUCCUCCUGAGAUUUAUCACGAUCAGGGAGAGUGGGCUCCAGGACCCCUAACUCCCCGUGACAUAGAAAAGUUAGACUCUCAGAACAAUGUCAUUAAUUAUACCACUCCACUGGAAGGACUCCCUUUGUUUAUCACCACAAAGACGUCGCUCAGCCAUAGCUGUCUUGCAAUUCAAGCUCAAACAUGGUUGAGUCACUAUGGAAAAAUUAUGUACUUAUUAGGUCUUGGUUCUAUUAAUGUAACUGGUGUGCUAACCAAUCAUUCCCAGUCCAGUCACCCUAAUUGUGCUGAUUAUACAGAAUGGAUUCCAUUCAAUAGUUCCUACCCCACUCUGUGGACCCAGUGUCUUGAUCCACUGGCUAGUAAACAAUAUAUGUCAACUGAAGACACUGUGGAUUGGGAACCUAAAGGUCAAUUAGAUGGAAAAGGUGAAAGUCAGAAAUCAUGGCACAAACUUCACUGGCAUUGGCGGCAAGCUUUUAAUGCUUCUUCUUUAUACAACAGCAGAAUCCAAUCCCAGUCUGCUGCUCAGAUUGCUUGGCAUGGAGCAGGCUUUAGCCCACCUCUUCCUCAGUUGCAUUAUCUGGGGAGGAAAGGACCAAUUCAAGAAACUAUAUGGAAGGCAGCACUCCCAUUUAUGAAUGGCAACAUCUGGAUUGGAACACUGUCUAAUAAUAGCAAUAGUAAGCAACACAGUCUUAAUGUUGCAUUUGUAAAGAAUAUCACCACUCAGUUUACAGUUUGUGUUUUUAAUCCUUAUGCCUUUUUGGCAGCUAAGAAGAACCAGCUUCAGGUAAACAAUACCCAAUUGACCUGUAAAUCUUGCCAGUUAUAUCACACUGCAUUAAUCAUAGCACAUUACGAACACAUAAUAUCUCUACUUUGAUAAUGUUGGGUUGCAUCCCUGGGCUAUGGAUUCUUGUUAAUCUGUCUGAGCCUUGGGCUGCCACACCUGCUUUGCAUUUUUGUAACACUUCUUCUAACUCAGCUUACUCACUGUGUCCAUAGAGCCUUAGGCAUAAUUUUUGCUAUUGUUUCCUUGGUCAAACUAAUAACUUCUGUUGUGAUAUCUUCUGUAACUCUGCAUAAUUCUAUUCAAACAUCUCAGUAGGUGGAGAACUGGACACGCACAGCUGACCAAGCGAGGCUACUUCAGAAUAAAAUUAACACUGAGUUACAAACUGAAGUGGCAAUGUUGAAAUCCAUGGUUCUGUGGUUAGGAGAACAGGUACAAAGCUUGCAGUUGCAGCAGCAAUUGCGUCAUCAUUUUAAUCACAUUCAUAUUUGCGUAACUAACUCAGAAUAUAACCAAAGUGAGUAUCCGUGGGACCUUGUGAAAGCCCAUUUGCAAGGAGCUUUCACAUCCAACAUCACCUUUGAUAUUGGUGAAUUACAAAACAAAAUUAUUGAUUUAAAUAGGCAAACUCAAGAAUUUCAGCCUUCUUUAGAAGACUGGACCGAAUUCCAGGAAGGCCUGGAGAGCCUCAACCCUUGGACCUAUCUAAGGCA
Long non-coding RNA from Homo sapiens (human), 4562 nucleotides. Ensembl annotates it as ZNF350 antisense RNA 1. Its record names the gene ZNF350-AS1. NCBI's taxonomy places the organism in Eukaryota, Metazoa, Chordata, Mammalia, Primates, Hominidae. The record is from Ensembl.